AACGAACGCUGGCGGCAUGCCUAACACAUGCAAGUCGAACGAGAUCUUCGGGUCUAGUGGCGCACGGGUGCGUAACGCGUGGAAUAUGCCAUUUGGUUCGGAAUAACCGUUGGAAACGACUGCUAAUACCGGAUGAUGACCAAAGUCCACAGAUUUAUCGCCAAAGGAUGAGCCCGCGUAGGAUUAGCUAGUUGGUGUGGUAAAGGCGCACCAAGGCGACGAUCCGUAGCUGGUCUGAGAGGAUGAGCAGCAACACUGGGACUGAGACACGGCCCAGACUCCUACGGGAGGCAGCAGUGGGGAAUAUUGGACAAUGGGCGAAAGCCUGAUCCAGCAAUGCCGCGUGAGUGAUGAAGGCCUUAGGGUUGUAAAGCUCUUUUACCCGGGAUGAUAAUGACAGUACCGGGAGAAUAAGCUCCGGCUAACUCCGUGCCAGCCGCCGCGGUAA
This 448-nucleotide ribosomal RNA is filed under the name uncultured bacterium. Its description in RNAcentral is "partial 16S ribosomal RNA". It matches the Rfam family "Bacterial small subunit ribosomal RNA", at positions 29 to 523 of the family's 1533-position model. The record is from RNAcentral.